UGCUCGCGCACCCAACUACAUACCACCUAUCCUUCUCAGUUAGUUCACGAGCAGUGUAAUGCUCGUUGACUAGAUCAUGGGCUUGUGUUGCGUACCUAAAUAGAAGGAAUCGUUGAGCUUGUUUCAAAUGUUGUUCGCGGCAUCUCCUUCAAUGGGGAAGUCGUGAACACAUAAGCCGACACUUGUGAUCCUUGCAUCUCGGCACAAAACUGCCUUGUUUGCUAAGGUGAAUAAGCUGCCGGUUGAACUCUCGGAUGCGGAAAGAUUAUGGACGGUGACUCGAAGUAAUUCAGUCCCGCCAAAGCACGUUUGUCCUCGGACAAAAGAUGACGGUCAAGACCUCGGCUGUUCUCACUUACGUACCGUAAUUGGGAACUAGCUGGGGCCUUGCCGUGAUUGAUGAAUGCUACCUGGU
This 415-nucleotide unclassified non-coding RNA is filed under the name Sinalliaria limprichtiana. RNAcentral's name for it is "partial miscellaneous RNA". Lineage: Eukaryota; Viridiplantae; Streptophyta; Magnoliopsida; Brassicales; Brassicaceae. The record is from RNAcentral.